AUAAGAUUUCCCACCGCAAGGGUAAGACCCCAGAAAGACUAUCUGGUUGAUAGGUCGAAGGUGUAAGUGCAGCAAUGUAUUUAGCUUAUCGAUACUAAUAGGUCGAGGACUUGACCAAUAUU
This 122-nucleotide ribosomal RNA is filed under the name Clostridioides difficile. Its description in RNAcentral is "partial 23S ribosomal RNA". It matches the Rfam family "Bacterial large subunit ribosomal RNA", at positions 2804 to 2925 of the family's 2925-position model. The record is from RNAcentral. Lineage: Bacteria; Bacillati; Bacillota; Clostridia; Peptostreptococcales; Peptostreptococcaceae.